This is a long non-coding RNA of Trematomus bernacchii (emerald rockcod), 1379 nucleotides long. RefSeq lists it as uncharacterized. NCBI's taxonomy places the organism in Eukaryota, Metazoa, Chordata, Actinopteri, Perciformes, Nototheniidae. The record is from RefSeq and is a predicted model, not a curated record. The transcript has 3 exons.
GGGAUUCUUUCAUGAAUCUUUAAUGGUAGCAACAAACCAGUCUCUAUGGCACUGUUGAACCAGAGCCGAUGUCAUAUAUAUUUGGCCGCUGCCGCGAGUGGCGCUGUGGCGCACUUUUGCCAGUGAGACCCUGUCUGCUCAUCCCCCCGCCUUCACAGCGACGUAAAUGCAUACAUAUUUUUCAACUCUGGACAUUACGACCAAAUUAUAAGGUAAGUUAAGUUAUAUUAACAUGAAUUAACAGAGAAGCGACAUGUAAUGUUAUGUUAUCUGGGCUUUGUCUGACGUGUUUUAGUUUAAAUAUAAAAUAAAAUACGCUAUAAAGUGGUCCGUGUUUCCUACGUGUAUCGAGUCUAACGGUACUUUGGGAUGAAUUACAUUGUUAAUGUAAAGUUAAUUCAACUUAAGCCGCUUAAAGUUCAUGUGGUAGGAUUUCUGUGUGAGUUUAUUGUGUUUUUGUUGACUUGGUGAGGCGCAAUUACCGCGAGUUACUUGUGGCGAAAUCCUCCGUGCGCGUUUACAUUAAUGUAUAUUUAAAUAUAUAAAUUAACGCUAACUACCAUGUAAGAUUACCAUUAACUCCCGUAUUAUUUUCCAAUAAACCGGGGUUAGAUAUACUAACCCAUCACUGUUACAAAACACAGCGUGGGGACAAGUUAACAGCAGUUUACUUUUGGAUAAAAAAGUAUUAUGUAUAUUCAGCUGUGCCGUUGCCCAGACGGGGUUAAAUAUACAUAAUAGAUGCAGACACACACACACACACACACACUGCUAAACACCAGAACUGUUGAAACCACAUCCAUAACAUUCAUCUACUACUUAGUAAUUAUUUAUCUAAUAUAUCAUUCAGCCUUGGCUGAGCUCCCUUUGUUAGUUAAAAGGGUUUGACCCAUGGGGGAGGGGUAAUGGAAGUGUAAAUAGUUUCAACAAACACACAGCUCCAGACAUACAGGAACAAAGAUCAACAAUAUCUGAUCCAAAGUAAAAUAGCACUACAUAUAUCAUAGCACAAUGUGAAUGUGCAGACAGUUAAAGUCUGCUCUCUAUUAGACCCCACCUGUGAACAUCAUUAACUCACUGAUAUAUAUUUUCUUCUUGACAGAUAAAAUGCAAAAAUCUUUUGGCUAUCCCUCCAUGCAGCCCCUGCUCUUCCUGUAAAGAGACUUGUGCCCCUACCAAAGGAGCUGAUGUUUCUGAUGCCGGAACCAUCCGCCCCAACACCAACAGAGACCAACAUCACUGUUCCAGUGGCUCCUGAGAUUUCUGCAGAGCCCUGUCAACCGACACUGCAUCCACCAGCUGCACCAACACAAAGUCAGCCAUUACCCAGGCCAUCAACGGUCCCCAGCUGUUGUCCUCCUCCUCCUCCUCCUCCUCCU